Molecule: ribosomal RNA, 503 nt
Filed under: uncultured bacterium
Lineage: Bacteria
Description: partial 16S ribosomal RNA
Rfam family: Bacterial small subunit ribosomal RNA
Source: RNAcentral
AUUGAACGCUGGCGGCAGGCUUAACACAUGCAAGUCGAGCGGGGUGAUGGUGCUUGCACUAUCACUUAGCGGCGGACGGGUGAGUAAUGCUUAGGAAUCUGCCUAUUAGUGGGGGACAACAUCUCGAAAGGGAUGCUAAUACCGCAUACGUCCUACGGGAGAAAGCAGGGGAUCACUUGUGACCUUGCGCUAAUAGAUGAGCCUAAGUCGGAUAAGCUAGUUGGUGGGGUAAAGGCCUACCAAGGCGACGAUCUGUAGCGGGUCUGAGAGGAUGAUCCGGCACACUGGGACUGAGACACGGCCCAGACUCCUACGGGAGGCAGCAGUGGGGAAUAUUGGACAAUGGGGGGAACCCUGAUCUAGCCAUGCCGCGUGUGCGAAGAAGGCCUUAUGGUUGUAAAGCACUUUAAGCGAGGAGGAGGCUCUUUUGGUUAAUACCCAAGAUGAGUGGACGUUACUCGCAGAAUAGGCACCGGCUAACUCUGUGCCAGCCGCCGCAGUAA